AAGUCGUAACAAGGUUUCCGUAGGUGAACCUGCGGAAGGAUCAUUAUCGAAUUCUGAGGGGGGGAAGAUGGGAAGUGGAGAUUGUCGCUGGCCCUCCUUGGGGGGCAUGUGCACAUCUUCCUUUUCGUUGACCCCCCUUUCUCACACACACACACCUGUGCACCUAUUGUAGGUCCUCGAAAGAGGAUCUAUGUUUUUCAUAUCACACCCAUCGUAUGUCUAUAGAAUGUAUUGAAAUAAUAAAUCAUACAACUUUCAGCAACGGAUCUCUUGGCUCUC
RNAcentral lists this unclassified non-coding RNA (279 nucleotides) under fungal sp. RNAcentral's name for it is "partial internal transcribed spacer region". The stretch from base 1 to 46 matches the Rfam family "Eukaryotic small subunit ribosomal RNA", at positions 1786 to 1831 of the family's 1831-position model. The record is from RNAcentral. Lineage: Eukaryota; Fungi.